GAGAAGAACACAGGAGCCUAUCAAAAACACAAGCAAAGCAACGACCUUUGUGCCAUUGCAGGAAUCAACAUGAUUGCAGAGCAGUCUUGCUGCUGCAGGACUACACGAGGCUACAACAGGAGACUUUUAAUUUGGUUUAUCAGCAGGUCAUAUGAAUUUCAGCAAAGUGUUCCAGUCUACCUCAUCUUUUUUUUUUUUUUUUUUUUUUUCAUUUUUAGAAAAUAAAUCAGACUUCAUAACAUAGGCAAGAUGUUAUGAGAAACGCCCCUGAGUUCUGGUCUGAAAAUCACCAUGUCUCUGGAAAGGAGAAGGCUGGAGCACCCCUCCUACGAAGAGAGGCUGACGGAGCUGGGCUUGCUCAGCCUGGAGAAGAGAAGGCUCCAGAGAGACCUCACUGUGUUCAGCCAGUACUUAAAGGGAGAUUAUAAACAGGAGGGGAAUGAACUUUUAAAACAGGCCCCUCCAAAGCACAACAUUGAUGCCAAGACCACAAAUGGAAGCCACAAGGAGGAAAAUGAUAAGCAUCUUUGCAUUUCCUGGCACUCAGGCUGCCUCAGCAAGGAAUUCAUUCCCUGCCUGAACUGCUCAGCAAUAUGCACACCGUUUUACAUGUGAGUAAUGUGAGCCAUUUUGAUGCUCAAGUGUCCUGGCCAAAGUCUUGGAGGAGUCGUGGCCACAGAUGCAUAAACAGAGCUUGUAUGUCUUGUCUCUAAAUCAUGCUGACUAAGCACUAUGAGAAGUUUCUUGUCCCUCAUCAGCUCAGGUAGAUUCCUUUGUGCUAAAUCACUAGUAGUAAAAAGUAAAAAACAAUUAGAAUAAUUAACUCCUACAUAACCAUGUCAUGAUGCACUUUGCAAAGAUCUCCAAGAAUCCCUUAUCGCUGUUUUGCAUCUGGCUCAGCUGAAGCACUGGAAAGUGAAAUCAUUCAGCCCCAGGCCUGUCCUUUUCAGUCCUAGGUGUGUCUGAGUUCAGAGGCACUCUAAGGUCACCAUGAACUCUUGGAUCUCAGCUCUCUGCUGUCCAAGGUGCAGGACUGUCCUUAGGCAACACCAGGACACCAAAAACGGAGAGAAAUGGGACUGGAGGAGGAACGUAGCCCACAGAGUGCUUCAGUAUGAUGCCAUCCCCCAACUGAGCUGUUUCUGCAUCUGGCCAUCAAAGCUCUUGUCGUGUGGACGAAAUCUUGAGACACAUUCAAGACGAUUUACUAUUCUGCUCUACAAAUUGGAUAUUUACAGGCCUGGAUUGAACAUCUAUAUUCCUCUACCCAGAAGUAGCACAUAUUGACCCAAUUUCUGUGCUUAAUAGUAUGCUGUAAAUCCAGACCAACUUCACAUAUUUCAGCAGAUUUACUUCAAGGUGACUGAGAUUAGAACAUGACGUAGAGAAAUAUGUUGCUUCAGCCACAACUAUCUUUUCACUUGUUGGUUUAACACCCCUGUGCUGCUUAAUUAGGGGAAUGCUUCAGAUCUGAUCUUAAACAAACCAAUAAACCCAAAGCAAUAA
This is an RNA transcript of Gallus gallus (chicken), 1506 nucleotides long. RefSeq lists it as uncharacterized. The record is from RefSeq and is a predicted model, not a curated record. NCBI's taxonomy places the organism in Eukaryota, Metazoa, Chordata, Aves, Galliformes, Phasianidae. The transcript has 4 exons.